CAGCACCUCAAGUGGUCAGGAUGAUUAUUGGGCCUAAAGCAUCCGUAGCCGGCGCUGUAAGUUUUCGGUUAAAUCUGUAUGCUCAACAUACAGGCUGCCGGGAAUACUGCAGAGCUAGGGAGUGGGAGAGGUAGACGGUACUCGGUAGGAAGGGGUAAAAUCCUUUGAUCUAUUGAUGACCACCUGUGGCGAAGGCAGUCUACCAGAACACGUCCGACGGUGAGGGAUGAAAGCUGGGGGAGCAAACCGGAUUAGAUACCCGAGUAGUCC
This 270-nucleotide ribosomal RNA is filed under the name uncultured archaeon. RNAcentral describes it as "partial 16S ribosomal RNA". It matches the Rfam family "Archaeal small subunit ribosomal RNA", at positions 477 to 747 of the family's 1478-position model. The record is from RNAcentral.